This 468-nucleotide ribosomal RNA is filed under the name uncultured bacterium. RNAcentral describes it as "partial 16S ribosomal RNA". It matches the Rfam family "Bacterial small subunit ribosomal RNA", at positions 28 to 507 of the family's 1533-position model. The record is from RNAcentral.
GACGAACGCUGGCGGCGUGCUUAACACAUGCAAGUCGAACGGAAAGGCCCUGCUUUUGUGGGGUGCUCGAGUGGCGAACGGGUGAGUAACACGUGAGUAACCUGCCCUUGACUUUGGGAUAACUUCAGGAAACUGGGGCUAAUACCGGAUAGGAGCUCCUGCUGCAUGGUGGGGGUUGGAAAGUUUCGGCGGUUGGGGAUGGACUCGCGGCUUAUCAGCUUGUUGGUGGGGUAGUGGCUUACCAAGGCUUUGACGGGUAGCCGGCCUGAGAGGGUGACCGGCCACAUUGGGACUGAGAUACGGGCCAGACUCCUACGGGAGGCAGGAGUGGGGAAUAUUGCACAAUGGGCGGAAGCCUGAUGCAGCAACGCCGCGUGCGGGAUGACGGCCUUCGGGUUGUAAACCGCUUUCGCCUGUGACGAAGCGUGAGUGACGGUAAUGGGUAAAGAAGCACCGGCUAACUACGUG